Papaver somniferum (opium poppy) is the source of this 2114-nucleotide RNA transcript. RefSeq lists it as uncharacterized. Lineage: Eukaryota; Viridiplantae; Streptophyta; Magnoliopsida; Ranunculales; Papaveraceae. The record is from RefSeq and is a predicted model, not a curated record. The transcript is spliced from 8 exons.
UCUUUUCUAAUCUAUUCUCUCUCAGUUAUCCUCACUUCCUCUCACUUCAUCUCCUCGACAAAACCAAAAAAUUGAAUCCCCUCCUCAACAACAGUAAUGGUGAAACAGAAGAAUCAAGAGAAAUCGAACCCUUUUCUUCAUAUCCUCUACUAAACCACAAGAUAACUGCAAUAGCUUCUUUCUCAUCUUCAAACGAAAAACCCAAUCUUCUGAACUACGUUCAUCAUCGUUUAAUAAACUCUUUACUUCAUUUUAUCAUGAUCUUUCAUACCUCUAAAACCCCAAACUUUCUAAUUUCAAAACCCAAUAAUCGUUCAAUUUACCAGAUCUAUUCAAGAUCAUCAAUUGAUUAAGAACAGAAAAAGAAAACCCUAACUGGUUUAGAUUUUAUUUUGUUAUGGGUAAUUUUCAGUAUUAAAUCUACCAACAACUAAUUGCAGGCAUAUCAGUAUGGAUAUUUGGGAUGUGGCUAUGGACAAAAUGGGUAAAGAAUAGUUGCUCGAGAAAUUGUAUACUGAGCAUAUAUAGGGGUUUGAAAUGGUGUGCUGGUUAUAAUGAUUGAAGGGAUUCAACUUUAGCUUCAUUGUCUACAAAAGAUUAUUGGGAACGAGUGGUAUUACUUACUUUGUUUGUCCUUCGUAUUAAAUCUAGUAAAGGGUAUGUUUUAACUUGGUUUUAGGGUUCUUUAACAUUAUGAUUAACAUAAUGUUUUCACCGAUAUUAAUCCAACAGUAUAAGUUCGUAUUGUAGGAUUUAGUAAUUCCUAUCUCAAGUGUACUUAUUUGAAAUUCAAAAUGCUUUUGCAUUACAUAUUGGUAGUCCUAGUUCUAUUAUGACUAACGCUCAUUUGCAUUACUAGCUUGCAAGUAAGAGUAUCAUCUGAUAAACAUAUUUGGCUUUAUGAGUGCAGACAUCAUUAUUUUCAUUCAAUCACUACUUGCUAAGGUUAGUUUUCUCUGGAUGGAAUAUUGUUCCAAUAUUCAAAUUUCAAUUGAAUUAUUAUAUAUGACCCGAAGUCUAACUUAUUUCUCUAAUGUUUCUAACUUCGUUCCUGCCUUCCUGGGUUAUUCGUCUACGUAUGCUCAAUAUUUGUUUUGGAUGGAAUGAGAGUUAUUUUGUCUUUAAAGCAUGAUCGGGUCUUGAAUGUAGUGAAAAUUUAGUAUGCUGCUACUAGUGCUAGUAUUUAUUAUCUUUAUAAGAUGAUGAAUCAUUACUACUUGGAUCAAGUAAUUUCCUUUUCUCUAUCCCAUGUCCCAACUUCUGUAACUCAAGGAUUGGGUUCCUUAUAACUGCUCUUUUGUAAUCUCUAAUCUCUAUUAGUAUCCAACAUUCCCUUUGGUGGUUGCAGAACAAGGUCAUAACUUUAACCCCUGAUAUGAAACUUCUGCUGGUUAUGCAACUAAUGGCAUUGGACCUUGAUUCUCGAGUUUUGGUUAGAGAAAGUAGGAUACAGGCCCAAUCAUAUUAGAGAUCCUACGAAUAGCUUGUUCUAAAUAUAAGUUGCAUAACUAUGGCGAAGGAAGUGCUUGUUCAUUAGAGCUUCAUUUCAGUUAGGUGUGGUGGUAUUAUCUAACUAUGGCGAAGGAAGUGCUUGUUCUAAAUAUAAUGAGAUUCCUUCCACAUUGGCUUCUGUCGAUACCUUUGAAAGGUACACACAGCUUUCUAGCGAUCCCCUUCGCAAAACUAGCAAACCUGGAAUUUUGUUCAUUGAUAUACAUCCAUCCAAGAAUAGCUCUCUUGCUCGUCGCACUCUUAAUAAUCACUGACUUCUGAAAGGGAUAUGAAAAUGUAAUAGGAAGCUUGCAAAUUCUUCUUCUUCAAAGACACCACCUGACAAAAACUGGAAUUAUGGAGAAGCAUUAUGGUUACGUGGAAUUUCACUCAUGUUUCCUUGGUAGUUUUUCUAUGGUGAUUUGCUUUUUAGAUUUCUAUAUGUUUCAUAAAUUAUUUUCAGAUUUGGAACUGAUUGUAGUUUGUUAUUGUAAAAUGAAAUCCAUGUGUUUAAUGAAUUCUACGCAGAUUUAGAACUUGAGUAAUUGUAGUUUGUUGGGGUUGUACAAUGAAUUUUGUGAACAUAAGCUUAUUUCAAUUUCAUUGCUUAAAUCAUAUUUUAU